RNAcentral lists this long non-coding RNA (511 nucleotides) under Capsicum annuum. RNAcentral's name for it is "long non-coding RNA (CANN_LNC009795)". Lineage: Eukaryota; Viridiplantae; Streptophyta; Magnoliopsida; Solanales; Solanaceae. The record is from RNAcentral.
CCACUUAGUGGGGUCUGGGGGGGGUAAGAUGUACGCAGUCCAUACCUCUACCUCUGAUGAAGUAGAAAGGCUGUUUCCGAAAGACCCCCGGCUCAAGUCACGAGAUAUCACACAAACACAUAGUACAGCACAGAAGCAGAUGACAUAACAUAGAUACGGCACCCAUAAGGAAUAUAAAACAGAGUAAAGCAGGAAUGCAGGAAUAUACAGCAGAGGAAAGCACACAAAUUCGUAAUAAACAUGGAACACGGAACACGGAACAUUGAAUACGGAAUCAUAACAGGAAUACACCCCCACCAAUUAAUUCCCUACGCUGGCGACCCGAACUGGCCCUAAUCCUCUGCCGUAAUUCGCAUCUUCCAUACCUUCCUAUCUAGGGUCAUGUCCUCGGUGAGCUGUAACUGUUCCAUGUCCCGCCUAAUCACCUCACCCCAGUACUUCUUCGGUCUACCCCUACCCCGUCUAAAACCAUCCAACGCUAGCCUCUCACACCUACGGACCGGGGCAUCCA